Molecule: unclassified non-coding RNA, 256 nt
Filed under: Glomus sp.
Lineage: Eukaryota; Fungi; Glomeromycota; Glomeromycetes; Glomerales; Glomeraceae
Description: partial internal transcribed spacer 2
Source: RNAcentral
GUGAAUCAUCGAAUUUUUGAACGCAAAUUGCACUCUCCUCGAAGACUAUGCGUAUUUGAGGGUCAGCCUAUAAAAAAUCGACAUCGUUGCUGUUUCGCGGUGGCGUUCGUCGUCAGUUGUGUCAUCUUAUAUCUACUGUUUUUAAGAGGGUUAUAAUAUUCUUCUUGUUUCCAUGAACUUUUCUCAGAUUUAUUUCUUUACACGUUUAUGGUAUCGUUUUUUAUUAUACGUGACAAUCAUAUCCAAUCGCGCCGAU